AAGCUCUCCAUCUCCAUCUCCCCUCACGGUGUAAUUCAUUCUUUUUCCUUGUGUACCCUCAAUCCCCAGAUAGAACGAUCCCUACUUACUUAUACUACUAACGAUAUUUUCAGGGUUAAAUUAUGCGCUCGCUCAAAGCGCAUCAUCUCCGGCGAGUAGAAACCAUCACUCACGUCAACCAGCGACGUCUGCAAGUGACCCAUGGGCCGACGCCAACGGUACUAAGAUCUGAUUUGGACACCCCAAAUCAAUCUCCUUCCUCACUCCUCCAUCCAUAGCACGACGCCAUGAAGAACUCAUUCCUCGCAUCCUCAACCUAUUCUUCACUUGAGCUUCGAACCCAAGUCGGAGCUCACUCCAAAUUCCUUUUCCGGUCGCUCAAGUUCCCCGACUUCUGCCGCUUCCUCAACUCGGCGAUAUCCCGGAGGAAAUCGUUGGUCUGCCCCUCUGUCAUGUCGGAGUCGACCUCGAACUUGCCGGUCUUCAACACUCUUGCACAUUAAACCACCUCCUCCAUUUUCUUCACUAAAAUCCCACCGCUUCUUCUUCCCAGUUCUUCCCACAAAAAUCCCAAUCCCAAAAAGCCCUGUUCUUAUUGUAGUCGUUUCAUUACUGUGUUUGUAAAAUGGGUUUGGAUUAGAUUUCUUCUCAUUAUACUUGCCUUGUAAAUGCUAGUUGCUUUCAGGAUUGCAUAAAAUUUUUGCAGAUAGAUGAAUAGAGUUUGAUGAAGGUCGGGAGUGGAAGGUCUCAAGGGUCAGGGCACAGCUGUGGAAGUUCCGCAGGAGGAGGGAGGUUUGAGUAGUUUAGGUGGGUGUACCUUUGGGGGUGAAUUAGACCCAUUCGGAAGGGUGUUGUUAGGCCUGCAUU
Rosa chinensis is the source of this 867-nucleotide long non-coding RNA. RefSeq lists it as uncharacterized. The transcript has 2 exons. Lineage: Eukaryota; Viridiplantae; Streptophyta; Magnoliopsida; Rosales; Rosaceae. The record is from RefSeq and is a predicted model, not a curated record.